ACGGAAAUGCAUAUUCCUGUAGAUUCAUAUUUCUCUCAACAAUGUUAUAAGAUACUUUGGAGCUGUUGCAGGAUUAUGUGGUUCCCAUGGCAGCAUAGCAGGCUCAAGAGCCAUCAGACAGUGAAGAGAAAAAAAAAAGAGACACAGAAUCGAGGUGCUGGAUCUCUUACAUGGAAUCACAUCAGAGAGAAAAUAGGAGCUGAGGCAGCGUGAUGUCUGGGGAUCGAGACUGAAGGACAGAUCAAGGGAGAACUGGGUUUUACAUGAUACACCCAGGGAAGCAAAAUGUUAAGUAAAAAAUAUGCCCUGAAAAAUGACAAGAAACCAGCAAACAAAAGGAGGAGAGGGAUAGUAGUGUUGGUAAGACAA
This 369-nucleotide long non-coding RNA is filed under the name Ictidomys tridecemlineatus (thirteen-lined ground squirrel). Its description in RNAcentral is "lncRNA (ENSSTOG00000033825.1)". The record is from RNAcentral. Lineage: Eukaryota; Metazoa; Chordata; Mammalia; Rodentia; Sciuridae.